UACGUAGGGCGCGAGCGUUGUCCGGAUUUAUUGGGCGUAAAGAGCUCGUAGGCGGUUUGUCGCGUCGGUUGUGAAAUUUUAGGGCUCAACCCUGACAUUGCAUCCGAUACGGGCAGGCUAGAGUUCGGUAGGGGAGACUGGAAUUCCUGGUGUAGCGGUGGAAUGCGUAGAGAUCCGGAAGAACACCGGUGGCGAAGGCGGUCUGCUGGGCAGUAGCUGACACUGAGGCGCGACAGCGUGGGGAGCAAACAGG
RNAcentral lists this ribosomal RNA (253 nucleotides) under uncultured bacterium. Its description in RNAcentral is "partial 16S ribosomal RNA". It matches the Rfam family "Bacterial small subunit ribosomal RNA", at positions 524 to 776 of the family's 1533-position model. The record is from RNAcentral.